Non-coding RNA from Triticum urartu, 132 nucleotides. NCBI's taxonomy places the organism in Eukaryota, Viridiplantae, Streptophyta, Magnoliopsida, Poales, Poaceae. The record is from Rfam.
AUAACACUCAUACCGGAAAAUACUUGUCAUCAAAAUAAAUAAAUAAAGAUGUGUCUAGAUAUAUAUUAGUUCUAGAUACAUCUUUUUUUAUCUAUUUUGAUGAUAAGUAUUUUCGGACGGAGGGAGUAUAGA